Molecule: ribosomal RNA, 253 nt
Filed under: uncultured bacterium
Lineage: Bacteria
Description: partial 16S ribosomal RNA
Rfam family: Bacterial small subunit ribosomal RNA
Source: RNAcentral
UACGAAGGGGGCUAGCGUUGUUCGGAAUUACUGGGCGUAAAGCGUGCGCAGGCGGCUUCUCAAGUCAGGGGUGAAAGCCCAGAGCUCAACUCUGGAAUUGCCUUUGAGACUGAGUGGCUUGAGUACGAGAGAGGUGAGUGGAAUUCCCAGUGUAGAGGUGAAAUUCGUAGAUAUUGGGAAGAACACCGGUGGCGAAGGCGACUCACUGGACACGUAUUGACGCUGAGGUGCGAAAGCGUGGGGAGCAAACAGG